AACUGUAACACAAUUGUGUUUCAUAUCAUUAAUUAUCAAGGAGUAUUAAUUAGGAAAUUUAUUAAAAAGGAAUUAAAUAAUUCAAUAACAAUCAUGUACACUUUGGACACUUUUAAAUAACGAUCUGUUCAAAUAUUAUAGACAAACCAUGUAUACCCUGCAGCCAAUAAAUGACCAUGUCUACUGUGAAAUAACAUGUAUCCUUCAGGGUUUGACAAUUAACCAUAGACUAGAAUUAUUUAACAUCCAGACGAAUACGUAACCGGCCAUUAGCUAUGGGCCAAUGUUUAUGGACAACUGGACUAUAUAAGAUCCAGCUUUGGACUUGAAGGAGGACAGCUUGGUACAAGAGAUUGGUACCGGAGAUUCCGCCAAGGUCUCCCCCUUCGCGGGUAGGCUGGAACUAAUGUGCUUAAUAUCCGAAAUACUCUAACAGGAACGAACAGUUAUAACACUAUACGAUCACGUGCCCGUGUGAGAUAUUGAACAUUCGAAC
Molecule: long non-coding RNA, 496 nt
Filed under: Mytilus galloprovincialis (Mediterranean mussel)
Lineage: Eukaryota; Metazoa; Mollusca; Bivalvia; Mytilida; Mytilidae
Source: RNAcentral